AGGGAAUAGAUACCCAGGUAGUCCUGGCAGUAAACGGUGCACGUUUGGUGUGGGCGCAAUCGACCGCGUCCGCGCCGGAGCUAAACGCGUUAAACGUGCCGCCUGGGAAGUACGGUCGCAAGAUUAAAACUCAAAGAAAUUGACGGGGACCCGCACAAGCGGUGGAGUAUGUGGCUUAAUUCGAUGCAACGCGAAGAACCUUACCUGGUCUUGACAUGCAUUGUGUCUCCGGUGAAAGCCGGAUAGGGUAGCAAUACCCGCUUUGCACAGGUGCUGCAUGGCUGUCGUCAGCUCGUGUCGUGAGAUGUUGGGUUAAGUCCCGCAAUGAGCGCAACCCCGUGUGAUUUGUUGCCACCGGCUUAUGCCGAGCACUCGAAUCAGACUGCCUCGAUCAACGAGGAGGAAGGUGGGAUGACGUCAAGUCCGUAUGGCCCUUACGACCAGGGCUGCACACGUACUACAAUGCCCAGUACAAUGUGAACCGAGACCGCGAGGUGGAGGAAAUCAAUAAAA
Molecule: ribosomal RNA, 513 nt
Filed under: uncultured bacterium
Lineage: Bacteria
Description: bacterial SSU rRNA
Rfam family: Bacterial small subunit ribosomal RNA
Source: RNAcentral